GCUUACGGCCACACUACCUUGAAAACGCCCGAUCUCGUCUGAUCUCGGAAGCUAAGCAGGGUCGGGCCUGGUUAGUACUUGGAUGGGAGACCGCCUGGGAAUACCAGGUGCUGUAAGCC
Molecule: ribosomal RNA, 119 nt
Filed under: Poecilia latipinna (sailfin molly)
Lineage: Eukaryota; Metazoa; Chordata; Actinopteri; Cyprinodontiformes; Poeciliidae
Source: RNAcentral